UUAUGGUAUUUUAAAAUAAGUAACGGCCUCUAAGUUUACCAACCUAAAGGAUUAAACGAUGAGAAAAUCUUUUAGUUACUUAGUAACAACCUUCCUUCUUAUGUAACCAAGUCACCUUGCGAGGGGUUUGCUUGGAAAUAUUAUUGCCAAGUACCGGCGGAAGGCGGGCAUAAGAAAAGUUGAGGGAGGUUCUGGAAAAACAGUGACAAACCUGCUUCCGGUAGUACGGAAGAAAGGGGGGAAAACAAAACCGUACCUAAAUACCACCUCAGGUAAGCUAGUAGAGAAUACGAAGGCGUUUGAGUGAACAAUCAUUAAGGAACUCGGCAAACUAACUACCGUAACUUCGGAAUAAGGAGUGCCAUUCCUCUUCAUUAAUAUGAGGUAAAGAAUAGGAAGCAUGGAAUAGUGUUGUACGACUGUUUAAUUAAAACAAAGCAUUCGCAAUAAGAUAAUAAAUCAAAGUAUUGAGUGUGAAUUCUGCCCGAUGUCGGCCGGUUAACGGAUUUACUAAGUUGACUAAUAUAAGCUUGGUUUUGAAGGAAACCCCGAUCAAUGGCGGUCUUACCUAUGAGGAUCCUAAGGUAGCGGAAUACCUUGGCCGUUAAAUGCGGUCUUGCAUGAAUGAUUUAACGAUACAACAGCUGUCUCAAUGAUUGGCUCAGUGAAAUUGGAAUGACAGUGCAGAUACUGUUUAUCUCUAGAUAGACGAGAAGACCCUAUGCAGCUUUACUGUUACUAGUUAUUAGAUAUGAUAAACAGCAUUUUUAGUGCAUAAGGUAGGUGCGCGGAGGUUUCAUUGGAUUCUUCUGUCACCCAAAUUGAAACACCUUUAUUUAGUUUUUCAUAUUGGUAAAUAUAUUUUACGUGAAAAAUCCAAUAUGGGUCUUUCAUUUCCAGAGGAACGAUGACUAGGAGGCAGUUUAUGCGGGGCACAGAUCCCAUAAAAAGUACCUGGGUGUAUCCAAAGUUAAUUUUGUAAAUUUGUUAUAAUUUAUAACAACCAAAACUAGUUUUGGUUUUUAGUUUGUUAUUAGAGAUAAAAGGCUUGGCCUUCUAUUUCCAAUCCACCUAUAUAUCUAUUGAGUUAGAACUAAAAAUUUUAAUCAAGUAAGAUUUUAUC
RNAcentral lists this non-coding RNA (1123 nucleotides) under Blumeria hordei DH14. RNAcentral describes it as "Blumeria graminis f. sp. hordei DH14 Bacterial large subunit ribosomal RNA". It matches the Rfam family "Bacterial large subunit ribosomal RNA", at positions 1360 to 2399 of the family's 2925-position model. Lineage: Eukaryota; Fungi; Ascomycota; Leotiomycetes; Helotiales; Erysiphaceae. The record is from Rfam by way of RNAcentral.